This 468-nucleotide ribosomal RNA is filed under the name uncultured bacterium. Its description in RNAcentral is "partial 16S ribosomal RNA". It matches the Rfam family "Bacterial small subunit ribosomal RNA", at positions 28 to 507 of the family's 1533-position model. The record is from RNAcentral.
GACGAACGCUGGCGGCGUGCUUAACACAUGCAAGUCGAACGGAAAGGCCCUGCUUUUGUGGGGUGCUCGAGUGGCGAACGGGUGAGUAACACGUGAGUAACCUGCCCUUGACUUUGGGAUAACUUCAGGAGACUGGGGCUAAUACAGGAUAGGAGCUCCUGCUGCAUGGUGGGGGUUGGAAAGUUUCGGCGGUUGGGGAUGGACUCGCGGCUUAUCAGCUUGUUGGUGGGGUAGUGGCUUACCAAGGCUUUGACGGGUAGCCGGCCUGGGAGGGUGACCGGCCACCUUGGGACUGAGAUACGGCCCAGACUCCUACGGGAGGCAGCAGUGGGGAGUAUUGCACAAUGGGCGGAAGCCUGAUGCAGCAACGCCGCGUGCGGGAUGACGGCCUUCGGGUUAUAAACCGCUUUCGCCUUUGACGAAGCGGGAGUGACGGUAAUGAGUAAAGAAGCACCGGCUAACUACGUG